This 490-nucleotide ribosomal RNA is filed under the name uncultured bacterium. RNAcentral's name for it is "partial 16S ribosomal RNA". It matches the Rfam family "Bacterial small subunit ribosomal RNA", at positions 30 to 507 of the family's 1533-position model. The record is from RNAcentral.
AUUGAACGCUGGCGGCAGGCCUAACACAUGCAAGUCGAACGGUAACAGGAAGAAGCUUGCUUCUUUGCUGACGAGUGGCGGACGGGUGAGUAAUGUCUGGGAAACUGCCUGAUGGAGGGGGAGAACUACUGGAAACGGUAGCUAAGACAGCAUAACGUCGCAAGACCAAAGAGGGGGACCUGCGGGCCUCUUGCCAUCGGAUGGGCCCAGAUGGGAUUAGCUAGUAGGUGGGGUAACGGCUCACCUAGGCGACGAUCCCUAGCUGGUCUGAGAGGAUGACCCGCCACCCUGGAUCUGAGACACGGUCCAGACUCCUACGGGAGGCAGCAGUGCGGAAUAUUGCACAAUGGGCGCAAGCCUGAUGCAGCCCUGCCGCGUGUAUGAAGACGGCCUUCGGGUUGUAAAGUACUUUCAGCGGGGAGGAAGUGAGUCACGUUAAUACCUUUGCUCAUUGACGUUACCCGCAGAAGAAGCACCGGCUAACUCCGUG